GACGAACGCUGGCGGCGUGCUUAACACAUGCCAGUCGAACGGAAAGGCCCUGCUUUUGUGGGGUGCUCGAGUGGCGAACGGGUGAGUAACACGUGAGUAACCUGCCCUUGACUUUGGGAUAACUUCAGGAAACUGGGGCUAAUACCGGAUAGGAGCUCCUGCUGCAUGGUGGGGGUUGGAAAGUUUCGGCGGUUGGGGAUGGACUCGCGGCUUAUCAGCUUGUUGGUGGGGUAGUGGCUUACCAAGGCUUUGACGGGUAGCCGGCCUGAGAGGGUGACCGGCCACAUUGGGACUGAGAUACGGCCCAGUCUCCUACGGGAGGCAGCAGUGGGGAAUCUUGCACAAUGGGCGGAAGCCUGAUGCAGCAACGCCGCGUGCGGGAUGACGGCCUUCGGGUUGUAAACCGCUUUCGCCUGUGACGAAGCGUGAGUGACGGUAAUGGGUAAAGAAGCACCGGCUAACUACGUG
This 468-nucleotide ribosomal RNA is filed under the name uncultured bacterium. RNAcentral describes it as "partial 16S ribosomal RNA". It matches the Rfam family "Bacterial small subunit ribosomal RNA", at positions 28 to 507 of the family's 1533-position model. The record is from RNAcentral.